UACGGGGGGAGCAAGCGUUGUUCGGAUUUACUGGGCGUAAAGGGCGCGUAGGCGGCCAGCACAAGUCGGUUGUGAAAUCUCCGGGCUUAACUCGGAACGGUCAGCUGAUACUGCUUUGCUAGAGUGCGGAAGGGGCAAUCGGAAUUCUCGGUGUAGCGGUGAAAUGCGUAGAUAUCGAGAGGAACACCUGAGGUGAAGACGGGUUGCUGGGCCGACACUGACGCUGACAGCGCGAAAGCCAGGGGAGCAAACGGG
This 255-nucleotide ribosomal RNA is filed under the name uncultured bacterium. RNAcentral's name for it is "partial 16S ribosomal RNA". It matches the Rfam family "Bacterial small subunit ribosomal RNA", at positions 524 to 776 of the family's 1533-position model. The record is from RNAcentral.